AAGAACCUUUUCCUGAUCUCCAACCUAAAGUGCUCCAGCCAUUCCCUGGGUGCCGUCCCUGGUCCUGGAGAGCAGAGAUUGGAGCUGCCCCUCUGGAUCUCCUCUGCAGGAAGCUGCAGACAGCUGUCCGUGCAGGUGGAUGGACAAUUCCAGCAGGGAUGCAGAGGGGGAUGGCCCAGCCCUGCCCAGCAGCUGGAGAGGGGCAGUUUUAGUGCGGUGCUCUCCGAGACAAUAACCAUCAGAAAAAGCAAGGGGAUGAAGGGAAAAAUGACGACACUGCCCGAGCUCCAUCAGUGCAUUCCUAGUGGCAACUCAUUUCAGGGAAGAAUUAUCUCAGCUUUAUUUUAAUGAGGAUCAAUCAGGCUGAGGCUGCCACCAAGGUCAUCAGCUCACCCUGGGGCACCACCAUGCAUCAGUCCCCCUUGGGUGCAGAGUUAUUCCAUGGAUGAGCUGUGAGGGUGCAGCUUGGGAACAGCUUGGAGCAUUAAUUCCCCAGUGCCCAGAGCAGCUCCAGCAUGGGGACAAAUCCCGGAGGGACAAGGACACAGCACUGGCUCCACUCAGUCCCUGGGGACAGCCACCAGCUCCAGACAGCAUCAGGAUGUGCUGAUCCCUUUUCUGUGCAGCAGCACCAGCCCCGAGCCCAAGUUUGGUGUUAAUAUGGAAAUAUGGAUAAGAGCUUAUGCUGUGACAAUGAUUUACUGCCUUGAUAACUGCACCUGAUAACACAAAUUUAUCUUGGUCUCUCCAUUUCAAUUAUAUUUUUUCUAAUGUGUGUUUUGAAAUACAGAUUCCCUCGGUCACAGGAAUUUAUGGCAAUGGCUGUGUGGCUGGGAGAAUUCAAAUAAAUACAGGAACUGUUCUCUGCC
Haemorhous mexicanus (house finch) is the source of this 869-nucleotide long non-coding RNA. RefSeq lists it as uncharacterized. The record is from RefSeq and is a predicted model, not a curated record. Lineage: Eukaryota; Metazoa; Chordata; Aves; Passeriformes; Fringillidae. The transcript is spliced from 3 exons.